RNAcentral lists this transfer RNA (58 nucleotides) under Pattonomys punctatus (Orinocan speckled tree-rat). Its description in RNAcentral is "tRNA-Ser". Lineage: Eukaryota; Metazoa; Chordata; Mammalia; Rodentia; Echimyidae. The record is from RNAcentral.
AGAAAGAAUCUUGGAACUGCUAAUUCCAAACUCCCAUAGAUAACACUAUGGCUUUCUU